This 490-nucleotide ribosomal RNA is filed under the name uncultured bacterium. Its description in RNAcentral is "partial 16S ribosomal RNA". It matches the Rfam family "Bacterial small subunit ribosomal RNA", at positions 30 to 507 of the family's 1533-position model. The record is from RNAcentral.
AUUGAACGCUGGCGGCAUGCUUUACACAUGCAAGUCGAACGGCAGCACGAAAGAGCUUGCUCUUUUGGUGGCGAGUGGCGAACGGGUGAGUAAUGCAUCGGAACGUACCGAGUAAUGGGGGAUAACUGUCCGAAAGGAUAGCUAAUACCGCAUACGCUUUGAGAAGGAAAGUGGGGGCUCUUCGGACCUCACGUUAUUCGAGCGGCCGAUGUCUGAUUAGCUAGUUGGUGGGGGAAAGGCCUACCAAGGCGACGAUCAGUAGCGGGUCUGAGAGGAUGAUCCGCCACACUGGGACUGAGACACGGCCCAGACUCCUACGGGAGGCAGCAGUGGGGAAUUUUGGACAAUGGGCGCAAGCCUGAUCCAGCCAUGCCGCGUGUCUGAAGAAGGCCUUCGGGUUGUAAAGGACUUUUGUUAGGGAAGAAAAGGAUAGUGUUAAUACCAUUAUCUGCUGACGGUACCUAAAGAAUAAGCACCGGCUAACUACGUG